Long non-coding RNA from Populus euphratica (Euphrates poplar), 474 nucleotides. RefSeq lists it as uncharacterized. The record is from RefSeq and is a predicted model, not a curated record. The transcript is spliced from 2 exons. NCBI's taxonomy places the organism in Eukaryota, Viridiplantae, Streptophyta, Magnoliopsida, Malpighiales, Salicaceae.
CAUUAAAACACGGAAUACCAGUCCCAUCUACUUGGUUAGAACUUUUUGGCUCCGCAUUUGCUAGUCCCACACUGUAAGUUUCAAGUGAUAUCGAUAAACAAGGCACUAAAGUACAAAGAUGACGACAAUAAUAGGAAAAAAAAAAUGACCAUGAUUGUGCUGUAAUUCUUUCCUAACUACUUAAACAAGAGCAUGAUGCUGCUCUCCAGACACAGGAAAAGAAGAUAGCCAACCAACCCAUCAAGUAGUACAUCAACAAGGAAAAGCAUAAGAUCACACAAUAGGUCGAACAUUAAAUAGAGACCAAGGUUAACAAAAAUUAUAAAGUUUUUUAUAUUGUGAUUACCUGGUCUAUGGAGUAUUGCAAACAUAUCAAAAAGGAAAUUAAGCAAGUUAAAAGCUAAGCUUCUCAUUAAAAACAAAUUUCCAAGCAGACUGCCUUCAUAUUCUAAUUGUUGAUGAUCCAUACAGCCU